CGGGGCAUGGAAACAUACUGAGGCACUGUGUGUAUGUUAUUUGUGCAUGAGAAUGAAACUCCUUGACCCUGAAAACAGGACGGGGAGUGGAGUGUGUGGUGUGAUAAGGAACGCUGAAAACAGCCUCCCGAGAAUGCGGUUUGAGUGCUUUUACCAGGCCACAGGUGUCUCAUGACCCGACCUCAAAAAGGCCAUCUAGUGGAUGUUUGUGGUCUAACAAGCCCUUUCAAUGAAUACUUGGCGGACAGAUGCUGGGGCGGAGUCUCUUAGAAGAGCUGCCCCCGGCCCCCCUCAGCUGGAUUUGUCUGAGAACUCAUUCUUGGCGUUCACUGCAAGCUAUAAGCUCUGCAAGUGGUGACCCCGACGUGAUCGCCUUGAAGUUACGCGUGAAGGAGGAGAGCUCAUUACUUUUCGGGGAAUCCUGAGAACAGGACCAGUCGUUGGAGAACCAACCAACAAUGAUGGUGAUGACUCGGAAGGCACCUGACAUCACCUGGGGACAGCUAAAGAAAUUGAAUCAACAAGCAUCUAUCCAGCUUGCCGCCGUGGAAGCCCCUGCAACUGCAGACAAUCGGUUUCUUACAUAUCUGGUGGCAAUUGGGGAAACUUCUGAGAAAGUAAGACAGACAUGGAUGUUGGGGUGGCAGGUAA
Molecule: long non-coding RNA, 651 nt
Filed under: Homo sapiens (human)
Lineage: Eukaryota; Metazoa; Chordata; Mammalia; Primates; Hominidae
Description: non-protein coding lnc-CXorf49-4:1
Source: RNAcentral